GACGAACGCUGGCGGCGUGCUUAACACAUGCAAGUCGAACGCUGAAGCUUGGUGCUUGCACUGGGUGGAUGAGUGGCGAACGGGUGAGUAAUACGUGAGUAACCUGCCCUUGACUCUGGGAUAAGCCUGGGAAACUGGGUCUAAUACUGGAUACGACAUGUCACCGCAUGGUGGUGUGUGGAAAGGGUUUUACUGGUUUUGGAUGGGCUCACGGCCUAUCAGCUUGUUGGUGGGGUAAUGGCUCACCAAGGCGACGACGGGUAGCCGGCCUGAGAGGGUGACCGGCCACACUGGGACUGAGACACGGCCCAGACUCCUACGGGAGGCAGCAGUGGGGAAUAUUGCACAAUGGGCGGAAGCCUGAUGCAGCGACGCCGCGUGAGGGAUGACGGCCUUCGGGUUGUAAACCUCUUUCAGCACGGAAGAAGCGAAAGUGGCGGUACGUGCAGAAGAAGCGCCGGCUAACUACGUG
Molecule: ribosomal RNA, 472 nt
Filed under: uncultured bacterium
Lineage: Bacteria
Description: partial 16S ribosomal RNA
Rfam family: Bacterial small subunit ribosomal RNA
Source: RNAcentral